Molecule: ribosomal RNA, 497 nt
Filed under: uncultured bacterium
Lineage: Bacteria
Description: partial 16S ribosomal RNA
Rfam family: Bacterial small subunit ribosomal RNA
Source: RNAcentral
GAUGAACGCUGGCGGCGUGCCUAAUACAUGCAAGUCGAGCGAACGGACGAGAAGCUUGCUUUUCUGAUGUUAGCGGCGGACGGGUGAGUAACACGUGGAUAACCUAUCUAUAAGACUGGGAUAACUUCGGGAAACCGGAGCUAAUACCGGAUAAUAUUUUGAACAGCAUGGUUCAAAAGUGAAAGACGGUCUUGCUGUCACUUAUAGAUGGAUCCGCGCUGCAUUAGCUAGUUGGUAAGGUAACGGCUUACCAAGGCAACGAUGCAUAGCCGACCUGAGAGGGUGAUCGGCCACACUGGAACUGAGACACGGUCCAGACUCCUACGGGAGGCAGCAGUAGGGAAUUUUCCGCAAUGGGCGAAAGCCUGACGGAGCAACGCCGCGUGAGUGAUGAAGGUCUUCGGAUCGUAAAACUCUUUUAUUAGGGAAGAACAUAUGUGUAAGUAACUGUGCGCAUCUUGACGGUACCUAAUCAGAAAGCCACGGCUAACUACGUG